Molecule: long non-coding RNA, 1028 nt
Organism: Stylophora pistillata
Lineage: Eukaryota; Metazoa; Cnidaria; Anthozoa; Scleractinia; Pocilloporidae
Source: RefSeq, a predicted model, not a curated record
GAAAGUGAUAGAUGAUUUGAUAUUCAAUCUAGAAGCAUCAUGUGACGUCGAGGUUAAUAACUUAGUUCUCUAUCAAUUUUGUCGACAUCAUGGUCCACAUUCUGGAAUAAAAAAAAAAAACAAAACAAGCGUCCGUGAUUAAGCGAAGCUCAGUUAGGGCUUGAGAAUCUUUGUAAACAGGUAAAUACUCGCUCCUGAUGUAGAAAUCGACCUUGGUCUGUUGAAGAAUAUUUUGGAUGGGGACGUCCAGAUGUUACUCCACUAGCAUUCAGCAUCAACGUCCUCAAAAGCAAAUGAUAUUAAGGGAGUUUAGCUUGGUUAAACUGAACAGGACAAGUGGUCUUCGCUUUCACCUCUCUGUUGGGAUUUAGUCUUCGCUAUACAGUGGAUUUUUGAAAGGUCUAGUGGACAUACAUGAUUUAAGGGAGGAUCAAAUAUGAAAUCACCUACGAUAACUGUGAAUGAUGAGAUGGGAAAACUCCUCGUGACAGCGGCGGGAGUUUCUAGCGGCUUCAUCGAAAUUACGGAUCAAAGUAUCAGAAUGAAAACAGAAUAUGGACUGUAAAGUUUUGUCUCCGGGAUAAUCAAGCUCACUAGUACACGUAAAUACCUCAUAAUGGAACAAAUUUUGCAAAUCUUGCUGCAGUUAUUACGAGAGUCCACCCGACUGGCUUUUGAUGGGUAACGUGUUUAGUCCUUCGGGACUGUGGUUUUGACAAAUGAUAUGUUUGGUUUGGAAGCCCUUCAUAUACCCACGGCUUCAGUUACACGUAACUCAUCAUAUAACUCCAUACAAGCGAUCAAGAGUUUUUCAAACGGCUCGCGUGUUUUUGAGACGACUUCCGUCCCAAGACGUGCUUCACUAAAAUAUUUUUUCGAUAGGAUCGCCUCAGCAUUGAGAAUUAUUGUGAUGACAUGACCCUAUUAAGGUAACUUUAUUUCAACUCGGGUUUUUGAGGCGGAUUAGGCCACUAGCAAUUGUUACGGUAACUGAUUACCGGCAGAAAGGUAAUAAAACUCGCUAUUUC